This 379-nucleotide unclassified non-coding RNA is filed under the name uncultured Candidatus Midichloriaceae bacterium. RNAcentral describes it as "contains 16S-23S intergenic spacer region". The record is from RNAcentral. Lineage: Bacteria; Pseudomonadati; Pseudomonadota; Alphaproteobacteria; Rickettsiales; Candidatus Midichloriaceae.
UCCGGUUUAUCACCGGCAGUUUCCUUAAAGUGCCCGGCAUGACCCGCUGGUAACUAAGGAUAAGGGUUGCGCUCGUUGCGGGACUUAACCCAACAUCUCACGACACGAGCUGACGACAGCCAUGCAACAUCUGUGAUGGUCCGGCCGAACCGACUCGUAGAUCUCUCUACAAUACGACCACCAUGUCAAGGCCUGGUAAGGUUUUUCGCGUAGCAUCGAAUUAAACCGCAUGUUCCACCGCUUGUGCGGGUCCCCGUCAAUUCCGUUUGAGUUUUAGUCUUGCGACCGUACUUCCCAGGCGGAGUGCUUAACGUGUUAACUUCGACACCGAGAACUUAAGUCCCGAUAUCUAGCACUCAUAGUUUAGGGCGUGGACUAC